RNAcentral lists this unclassified non-coding RNA (425 nucleotides) under Hevea brasiliensis (rubber tree). Lineage: Eukaryota; Viridiplantae; Streptophyta; Magnoliopsida; Malpighiales; Euphorbiaceae. The record is from RNAcentral.
AAAAAAAAAAAAAAAAGCAAACUAUCUGAAAUAACAAUAUUUCCUUUCCCAAGUAACGUAUGUCCUGCUUUUGAACUCACAGCCAAAAUGAAUGCAAAAUUAGCACCUCAAAGCUCCAAUUUUGCUUCCAUAACAAUCACAUCAAAAUCCAUCCCUUUCCAAAACUUGCUAUUAAUUACAGAUGCAAGAACUCCAUGACCAUGUCCUCAAUUUCAUUAAAAUAAAAUGGCAGAUAAACCCUAUGCUUUUCAUUAAAAAACCCAAGAAAAGAAAAAAGAAUAAACAAAUUUUCAUUAAAAAAACCCAAGAAAAGAAAAAAGAAUAAACAAAUUUUCAUUAAAAAAACCCAAGAAAAGAAAAAAGAAUAAACAAAUUUUCAUUAAAAAAACCCAAGAAAAGAAAAAAGAAUAAACAAAUUUUCAUUA